Molecule: long non-coding RNA, 1825 nt
Organism: Mauremys reevesii (Reeves's turtle)
Lineage: Eukaryota; Metazoa; Chordata; Testudines; Geoemydidae
Exons: 4
Source: RefSeq, a predicted model, not a curated record
UCACUAGAGAGGAGUUAGGGAGAAUUCCCCAUUAGGAAGGGUCAGUAGUUUAGAGUGGCUAGGGAGCAGCCCUACAGGAGUAGGGUUAACGCCUGGGGGCUUACAGUAGAGAGGAGCCCUGAGCUAGGAUCCACAAGGACCAGAAAAUGAGAUAGAGGUCUAUGUGAGGAAAAAGGCUAGUUUAAGUGUAUUUGAACUCCAAGUGGGGAAAAGCCUAGUGGAGUUGGUACCCUGCCAAGGAGGAAAGAAUUGAAGCUGAGCCCAGGAAGGGCAAAGGACCUUUUGUUUGUGAAGCUGAGCCCAGGAAGUGGACUAAACUGUUGUGAGACUUGCCUAGAGGGCUGAGCCACAGAAGACCUGGGGAAGGAGUCUGGAAAAGACACUAGCUAGGAGUGGUUACUGUGGCUGGGAAAGUGGCCACCAGUGUGGAUGCAAGAGGCAAAGUCCCCUCUGGUGCUGUGUUCAGGUACAGGGAGACAACCUAAAGGACUUGUGUUUGUGCUGACAGUCUUCUGGCUUCCGCUGCAGGCUGGAGAUUUUUUCACUGGAGGAUAAGCAUAUUCAUAUUGAAUUCCUGAAAACAGCUAAAGUGAAGCAGCUAAACAGUCUGGCAAACAAUUCCCAUCCACCCCCCCAAGUACCUCUGAAAGGAGCUACCUCCCACAGUGCAGCCUUAAGUCUUGAUUCAAAUGUCACUGCCCUUCUUGGAGUCUGGAGGGAGAUUUCCACAGCUGAGCGUGUGGAGAAACUUCACUUCCUAAUGACAAAGUUGCUUGACAGCCCUAUUGAUAACUCUCCACCUCCACUGUCUUCUCUACUUCGUCUGCUGCGAAGGUCAUCCAGGAGGAAGAGUUUUUACAGACGCACUGUCCAAUUUCAUUCGCCUCCCCACUUAUGUUGCUGGAACUCCAAUUAUCUAUGUACUAAAAAGAGAAUGCAUAUUGAAUGGAUGAGAGACUCUCAGAAAUGACCCCAUGAAGACAGAUGACAACUGCAUAUGUGGUUGUACAUGGCUAUGUUUACACUCCAAUCCACAAUCGGCAGCUUGUAGAAUAUGUGAACCUACAUGGCACAGUGAAAAGUAAGCUGUGUCCAUAUUGUAGUAUGUAGCUACACAUGUCAGUGAAAGGCUCUGGCAGGGGGAGGUAGCAGGGAAAAGUUCAACCUGCCAGUCUACUUCCCUGCUGCCAGAGUCUUCCCCUGCAGAGAGGAAGGGCUCCAGCAGUGGGGAACUGCUAGAGACUUUUCCCUCUGCCUCCCCCGCCCACCCCACCAGAGCCUUUCCUCGCUGCUGGAGUCUUUUCCUGCAGUGGAGAGAGAUUCUAGUAGCUAUACAGCUAAAACUAGCAGUGUUGACUGGAAGGCACAGCUUGAGCAUAUAGAGACCCGUGAAGGGUAUGUAUAUACUCUGGUACAUACCCACAUCCUUCAGAUGUGCUUGUACUGUACUCCCCUAAGACAUGCCUCUCUGUCUAUACAGGUACUUAAACCUAUGCUAGGGGGACUACCUGAGCAGACUGUACAUGCUGCCCAAGAAGGCGUGCAGUGUAGACAUAGCCUGUGUGGUUAGUAAAAACGUUAGUGAUAAUUGGGUGUCUGGCUCACUCUGCUUCACUUUUUCACGUUGCUGAGAAUGCUGGCAAGAGUGAAAACACCUUAGCUAAUGACAUACUGUCUCCCAGCAUCUUCAGUUUGCUGCUGUCCCCUCUACUAUUGCUGCACUUUGAUGUGACUCUUAAGAGCAGGGCUGCCCAGAGGAUUCAAGGGGUCUGGGGUCUUCAGCGGCGGGUCCCCGGGCGAAAGGACUGCUCGCCGCCGAAUUGCU